Molecule: long non-coding RNA, 1436 nt
Filed under: Musa acuminata (dwarf banana)
Lineage: Eukaryota; Viridiplantae; Streptophyta; Magnoliopsida; Zingiberales; Musaceae
Description: long non-coding RNA (MACU_LNC001023)
Source: RNAcentral
CUCUUUUUCAAAUCGAUUGAACUAGGUGAGCUGAACCCCAACUUCAAUUGGCUUAGGCGCACGCCUAGGCUCAAGCACGGGCUCGAUUCGCGUCCAUUCAAAUCACCUCACCUGAACCAUCUUCGAGCGCUCUUUUUCAAAUCGAUUGAACCAGGUGAGCUGAACCCCAACUUCAAUUGGCUUAGGCACACACCUAGGCUCAAGCCGGGCUCGAUUCACGUCCAUUCAAAUCACCUCACCUGGACCAUCUUCGAGCGCUCUUUUUCAAAACGCUUGAGCGCCUUUUCAGAACACUGAGUGAACCACAAAACAACUAUCAAGAUAUCAAAGCAGAGUCAUCGAUCAAAUAAUAUCUUUCAAAACCUAAACCAAGGUUUAUGGCCAAAGGGUUUCGUAACAUCUCCAUUAGCUCGAUGCGGCAGUACCAUAGAGCUAUCAAGGAUGCAAGGGAGGUUAUCAAAGCGAAUCUAUACAAUCGUUAUCAUAUUCUCUUAUUCUUAUUGAAUCAUGCCAUGUCAAUGCAACGUACCAUGCCAACUACCAGCGAUAUUACGUAAAUGAACUUUCAUUGAAUUAGAUAUUCUCAAAAAAAAAAAAAGAUCUGAUCUUCAAAGAAAUCUACGCGACAUGAAUCUACAACUGUUGAAUGUAAUGUGGCACAAUGGUGCCAAAUAAGUGGACUCAAGCUGAUAGCAGAAACUGUAAGCAGUAACAUGUGUGUGAAAACUAGGUCGUCACGCUGAAACAUAAUGUGUUUCCACAAAUUAGCCCAUUUGCACGCGGUCGAAGCUUAGGUGACAAAUUAAGGAUAUGCCGUAGGAGAAGGAAAGGAUGCGAGUUCCUCCUUGCUAACCUAUGAGGCUCACCCCAAACUUGGAACCUUGCACGGCUUUCCAAAUCCGAGGUCACCAAAGACUAUUGAUUUUUCGACUUGAAAGAUCAAUGCGGUGAGCGAUUCCUACCAGAAAAUGGUUCCUUUACACCUAUGUAGAAGUUUCGACUAGAUUAGCAACUCUUAGGCUGUUGAAUUCAAACUACUUCAUUUUCCCCAAGACAUCGCCAAGAAGGCAGAUGGAUGCAAGAAAUCCAUCAUCCAAAAGCAAACUUUAAGGAGCAAGGCCCGGAGUCGAGUCGACGAUUACUCUGGUAACCGAGAAGGGGGAAAAGAAAUCAAAGCAAAAGGAGGCGGAGCUAAAAGAGGCUUACGCAGGGAGAAAUUGUUGUGUCGUCGCCGUUGCUCGCCAGGCCCCAUGAGACGGGUGGGGUUAGUCGAUGGGUCGUCGUCGACCAUCUCGUACGUCUUGCUGACGAACGGCUCGAGUGAGCGGUGGCCGCGGAAGCCGUCGUUCGCCGCAUCGAUUCUUCCGCCGAGAUCAGAGGAGUUCCGAUCGAACCGAAGAAGGGUGGAGACGGGGAUUAGGGACGGUCGGAUAGCG